RNAcentral lists this ribosomal RNA (292 nucleotides) under uncultured bacterium. RNAcentral's name for it is "partial 16S ribosomal RNA". It matches the Rfam family "Bacterial small subunit ribosomal RNA", at positions 505 to 796 of the family's 1533-position model. The record is from RNAcentral.
GUGCCAGCCGCCGCGGUAAUACGUAGGGUGCUAGCGUUGUUCGGAAUUAUUGGGCGUAAAGCGCGUGUAGGUGGUUUGUUAAGUCGGAUGUGAAAUCCCUGGGCUCAACCGAGGAAGUGCAUUCGAAACUACCAAGCUAGAGGACGGCAGAGGAUGGUGGAAUUCCUAGUGUAGAGGUGAAAUUCGUAGAUAUUAGGAGGAAUACCGGCGGCGAAGGCGGCCAUCUGGGCCGUUCCUGACACUGAGACGCGAAAGCGUGGGUAGCAAACAGGAUUAGAUACCCUGGUAGUCC